RNAcentral lists this ribosomal RNA (254 nucleotides) under uncultured bacterium. RNAcentral's name for it is "partial 16S ribosomal RNA". It matches the Rfam family "Bacterial small subunit ribosomal RNA", at positions 524 to 776 of the family's 1533-position model. The record is from RNAcentral.
CACGUAGGGUGCGAGCGUUGUCCGGAUUUAUUGGGCGUAAAGAGCUCGUAGGCGGUGUGUCACGUCGAUCGUGAAAACUUGGGGCUUAACUCUGAGCGUGCGGUCGAUACGGGCAUCACUUGAGUUCGGCAGGGGAGACUGGAAUUCCUGGUGUAGCGGUGAAAUGCGCAGAUAUCAGGAGGAACACCGGUGGCGAAGGCGGGUCUCUGGGCCGAUACUGACGCUGAGGAGCGAAAGCAUGGGGAGCGAACAGG